This 1002-nucleotide ribosomal RNA is filed under the name uncultured Lysobacterales bacterium. RNAcentral describes it as "bacterial SSU rRNA". It matches the Rfam family "Bacterial small subunit ribosomal RNA", at positions 9 to 1000 of the family's 1533-position model. The record is from RNAcentral. Lineage: Bacteria; Pseudomonadati; Pseudomonadota; Gammaproteobacteria; Lysobacterales.
GAGUUUGAUCGUGGCUCAGAGUGAACGCUGGCGGUAGGCCUAACACAUGCAAGUCGAACGGUAACAGGUCUUUCGGGAUGCUGACGAGUGGCGGACGGGUGAGGAAUACAUCGGAAUCUGCUCAGUCGUGGGGGAUAACGCAUGGAAACGCGCGCUAAUACCGCAUACGACCUUCGGGUGAGAGCAGGGGAAUCUUUAGGGAUCCUUGCGCGAUUGAAUGAGCCGAUGUCGGAUUAGCUAGUUGGUAGGGUAAAAGCCUACCAAGGCGACGAUCCGUAGCUGGUCUGAGAGGAUGAUCAGCCACACUGGGACUGAGACACGGCCCAGACUCCUGCGGGAGGCAGCAGUGGGGAAUAUUGGACAAUGGGGGCAACCCUGAUCCAACCAUACCGCGUGGGUGAAGAAGGCCUUCUGGGUUGUAAAGCCCUUUUGUUGGGGAAGAAAAACAACGGGUUAAUACCCCGUUGGUAUGACGGUACCCAAAGAAUAAGCACCGGCUAACUUCGUGCCAGCAGCCGCGGUAAUACGAAGGGUGCAAGCGUUACUCGGAAUUACUGGGCGUAAAGGGUGCGUAGGUGGUUGCGCCAGUCUGUCGUGAGAGCCCUGGGCUUAACCUGGGAAUGGCGAUGGAAACUGUGCAACUAGAGUGUGACAGAGGGUGGUGGAAUUCCUGGUGUAGCAGUGAAAUGCGUAGAGAUCAGGAGGAACAUUCGUGGCGAAGGCGGCCACCUGGGUCAACACUGACACUGAGGCACGAAAGCGUGGGGAGCAAACAGGAUUAGAUACCCUGGUAGUCCACGCCCUAAACGAUGCGAACUGGAUGUUGGGUCCAACUUGGGAUUCAGUAUCGAAGCUAACGCGUUAAGUUCGCCGCCUGGGGAGUACGGUCGCAAGACUGAAACUCAAAGGAAUUGACGGGGGCCCGCACAAGCGGUGGAGUAUGUGGUUUAAUUCGAUGCAACGCGCAGAACCUUACCUGGCCUUGACAUGCACGGAACCUUU